GCUUACAUACUCAAUUUGGUAGAGCAUUCGACUAUUAAUCGAUUGUAGCAGGUUCAAUUCCUGUGUAUAAACA
Molecule: transfer RNA, 73 nt
Filed under: Okeania hirsuta
Lineage: Bacteria; Bacillati; Cyanobacteriota; Cyanophyceae; Oscillatoriales; Microcoleaceae
Rfam family: tRNA
About the family: Transfer RNA (tRNA) molecules are approximately 80 nucleotides in length. Their secondary structure includes four short double-helical elements and three loops (D, anti-codon, and T loops).
Source: Rfam by way of RNAcentral